RNAcentral lists this ribosomal RNA (301 nucleotides) under uncultured bacterium. Its description in RNAcentral is "partial 16S ribosomal RNA". It matches the Rfam family "Bacterial small subunit ribosomal RNA", at positions 509 to 807 of the family's 1533-position model. The record is from RNAcentral.
CAGCAGCCGCGGUAAUACGUAUGUCGCGAGCGUUAUCCGGAAUUAUUGGGCAUAAAGGGCAUCUAGGCGGCCUAACAAGUCAGGGGUGAAAACCUGCGGCUCAACCGCAGGCCUGCCUUUGAAACUGUAAGGCUGGAGUACCGGAGAGGUGGACGGAACUGCACGAGUAGAGGUGAAAUUCGUAGAUAUGUGCAGGAAUGCCGAUGAUGAAGAUAGUCCACUGGACGGAAACUGACGCUGAAGUGCGAAAGCCGGGGGAGCGAACAGGAUUAGAUACCCGCGUAGUCCCUGUCUCUUAUAC